RNAcentral lists this ribosomal RNA (253 nucleotides) under uncultured bacterium. Its description in RNAcentral is "partial 16S ribosomal RNA". It matches the Rfam family "Bacterial small subunit ribosomal RNA", at positions 524 to 776 of the family's 1533-position model. The record is from RNAcentral.
UACGGAGGGGGCUAGCGUUGUUCGGAAUUACUGGGCGUAAAGCGCACGUAGGCGGCUUUGUAAGUUAGAGGUGAAAGCCCAGGGCUCAACCCUGGAAUUGCCUUUAAGACUGCAUCGCUUGAACAUCGGAGAGGUAAGUGGAAUUCCGAGUGUAGAGGUGAAAUUCGUAGAUAUUCGGAAGAACACCAGUGGCGAAGGCGACUCACUGGACACAUAUUGACGCUGAGGUGCGAAAGCGUGGGGAGCAAACAGG